UAGGGAAUCUUCCGCAAUGGACGAAAGUCUGACGGAGCAACGCCGCGUGAGUGAAGAAGGCUUUCGGGUCGUAAAGCUCUGUUGCCAGGGAAGAACACUUGAGAGAGUAACUGCUCUUGAGUUGACGGUACCUGAGAAGAAAGCCCCGGCUAACUACGUGCCAGCAGCCGCGGUAAUACGUAGGGGGCAAGCGUUGUCCGGAAUUAUUGGGCGUAAAGCGCGCGCAGGCGGCUUUGUAAGUCUGUCGUUUAAGUUCGGGGCUCAACCCCGUAUCGCGAUGGAAACUGCAAGGCUUGAGUACAGAAGAGGAAAGUGGAAUUCCACGUGUAGCGGUGAAAUGCGUAGAGAUGUGGAGGAACACCAGUGGCGAAGGCGACUUUCUGGGCUGUAACUGACGCUGAGGCGCGAAAGCGUGGGGAGCAAACA
Molecule: ribosomal RNA, 426 nt
Filed under: uncultured Paenibacillus sp.
Lineage: Bacteria; Bacillati; Bacillota; Bacilli; Caryophanales; Paenibacillaceae
Description: bacterial SSU rRNA
Rfam family: Bacterial small subunit ribosomal RNA
Source: RNAcentral